CCUACGGGUGGCAGCAGUAGGGAAUCUUCCACAAUGGGCGAAAGCCUGAUGGAGCAACGCCGCGUGGGUGAAGAAUGUCUUCGGAUCGUAAAACCCUGUUUUUAGAGAAGUAAGUGCGUGAGAGUAACUGUUCACGUUUCUACGGUAUCUAACCAGAAAGCCACGACUAACUACGUCCCAGCAGCCGCUGUAAUACGUAGGUGGCAAGCGUUAUCCGGAGUUAUUGGGCGUAAAGGUAACGCAGACGGUCUUUUAAGUCUGAUGUGAAAGUCUUCGGAGUAACCGGAAUAGUGCAUUGGACACUGGGAGACUUGAGUGCAGAUGAGGAGGGUGGAAUUCGAUGUGUAGCGGUGAAAUGCGUAGAUAUAUGGAAGAACACCAGUGGCGAAAGCAGCUCUCUGGUCUGUAACUGACAUUGAGGUUCGAAAGCGUGGGUAGCAAACAGGAUUAGAUACCCGUGUAGUC
This 465-nucleotide ribosomal RNA is filed under the name uncultured bacterium. RNAcentral's name for it is "partial 16S ribosomal RNA". It matches the Rfam family "Bacterial small subunit ribosomal RNA", at positions 338 to 795 of the family's 1533-position model. The record is from RNAcentral.